CCCGAUGGCUGGCAAGGCGACGACUUCUGCAGUUGGAUAUGCUAUUCUCCAUUCCAUGGAAGAGGUGAUUCUGGUACUAUAUCUGGAUCUUCAAGGAGUGCAGCUUGUUUCCCAUAAAAUACUUUGCCAUAAGGGCUGAGUUCUCGGACUUCCUCACGUAGCCAGUUCCCAAAGUUUCCUGGUUCCAAGAAUGAAGAGAACUACCUCAGCAAUAAAGCCUCGCCCAAGAACGAGGAUCAGACUGGCGCCCUUAGCUUCUUUCAGCCUUGUGCGAAGAUAUGCUCCAUGACGAUACGUGAUCCAAAGACCACCGGGCCUAUUCCAAUAGAGAGCAAGGAGAAGCCCAACAAGGGAGGGACAAUACAGAUUACCAAAAGGUACUUAAGAGCGAAGGAUAUAGGGUAAUAUUAUAAGGGUAGGGGCGAAAAGAGAAAAGCGGCUAUAAGGAUUGUCAGGGGAAAGGAAACUCAGUAAUUAGGGUUUUUGUGGAAGACUCGAGAAGGGUAUAUAACUGUAGUCGCAGAGGUACCAGUCAACUUUUCUUUCCGAAUUUAGGGUUUCGGAGAGACGACAAGAGGGAACAGAGGAAGGUGUGGGAUUAAAGACUUGGGCGAUUCAACCCAAAAUGCGGAAACAGAGGCUGAGAAUGGCUGAGAGAGAUUACCAAGGAGACAGGGAAUUUUAAGGAAGCUUGCUGAGGGUGAAACGAUUCAAAAUAGCUUCGAUGCUAUUAAACCGACUGGAAGCUACCAUGCGGUAGGGAAGAGCC
Long non-coding RNA from Eucalyptus grandis, 769 nucleotides. RefSeq lists it as uncharacterized. NCBI's taxonomy places the organism in Eukaryota, Viridiplantae, Streptophyta, Magnoliopsida, Myrtales, Myrtaceae. The record is from RefSeq and is a predicted model, not a curated record. The transcript has 3 exons.